AUACGGAGGGUGCAAGCGUUGUUCGGAAUCACAGGGCGUAAAGGGCGCGCAGGCGGUUUGAUAAGUCAGAUGUGAAAGCCCACGGCUCAACCGUGGAAGUGCAUUUGAAACUGUCAGACUUGAGUACUAGAGGGGAAAGUGGAAUUCUCGGUGUAGAGGUGAAAUUCGUAGAUAUCGGGAGGAAUACCGGUGGCGAAGGCGACUUUCUGGCUAGAUACUGACGCUGAGGCGCGAAAGCGUGGGGAGCAAACAGGAUUAGAUACCCUAGUAGUCC
RNAcentral lists this ribosomal RNA (274 nucleotides) under uncultured bacterium. Its description in RNAcentral is "partial 16S ribosomal RNA". It matches the Rfam family "Bacterial small subunit ribosomal RNA", at positions 523 to 796 of the family's 1533-position model. The record is from RNAcentral.